Molecule: long non-coding RNA, 791 nt
Organism: Poecile atricapillus (Black-capped chickadee)
Lineage: Eukaryota; Metazoa; Chordata; Aves; Passeriformes; Paridae
Exons: 3
Source: RefSeq, a predicted model, not a curated record
AUCGUCACCAUUUGGCUGUGGCAGGUACAAGAACCUUUUCUAGCCUCUUCCUUCAUGGUUUUCAGCUUAAGGACUGACUUCCUGAAGAUGCUUUCUGGAUGAACUGCAAAGUUGCUGUAAGGGAUUAUUUGAAUUGAUAAAUUAAAACAACUACUUCCAAGUGGAUUCUAAAGCAUGAGAGCUGACAUUGCCAGUAUGGGAGAUUCUCUGCUCAUGGAAGGCAGAAGAAACACUGUUCUUCUAGACCAACUGCAUGCUGUCAACAGAAUGUACAGAAAACAAAAAUACCAGGCAAGACCUGCUAUUUUGAGCACAAGCAACAGCAAUUGGAAAAUAACUUCUGGCCUGGAGACAAAGAGCCACAGGAUUACAUCUGUCUGUAUAUAGGUGUUCCCCAACAUAAUCAAUACAUCCUUACAAUGGCAACCCAGGAUAAAGUACACCAAACCAGUCUCUGUAUCCUCUCUUUAAAAGCACCUGACAUUUUCCUAAGGUUCUGAGGACAUCUGAGAAAUGGAGCAAUUUUUCUGUGUAUCCUUUGUCUUAUUUUCUCUCUUCCAGACAAACUUUCAGUAAAUUAUACACUCAUUCCAUGAAGAUGCAGACUGACUGGGAUUUCAGAAUGGGCUGAGUUACAAGUGUGUAAACCUAGAGUGACAGCUGCACAGUCAGUAAUGUUCCUUUAGAUUCAGGCUGGUUCAGCUGAGAUCAUAUUCCAACCAAACUGACAUUUAUGUACACAGAAAAUGUAGGUCUCCUUCCAAAGACCUGCCACUGCACAUAUGAGGGAU